RNAcentral lists this small nuclear RNA (23 nucleotides) under Arabidopsis thaliana (thale cress). Its description in RNAcentral is "snRNA_12048". Lineage: Eukaryota; Viridiplantae; Streptophyta; Magnoliopsida; Brassicales; Brassicaceae. The record is from RNAcentral.
UUUUAGAUGCAGUAUAUAUCACC